GGCUUUUCCAGAGAGGAAGCAGGGGAAGGUGCCAGGAAGAGAUAAGGAGCCCCAGUGAGGACUGAGCCCUGGAACUGCCUUCAUUAUUUAGGACUGGGAGCCCCAGCAGGACAGGACUGGAACCAUCGUGGUCACUGUUGUGUCUCCUGCACCACCCAACACCAGGCCAGGCAUAGAGGAGAUUUUGUUCAAUGCAACUGUUUGUUCAAUGUCAUUCAUUCAAUAAAUAUUUACAGAGCACCAAUUCUGUUCCGGGCACUGGGGAUAAAUCAGUGAAGGAAUUCAAAGAGCCCUGAUUGGC
Molecule: long non-coding RNA, 301 nt
Filed under: Homo sapiens (human)
Lineage: Eukaryota; Metazoa; Chordata; Mammalia; Primates; Hominidae
Description: HSALNT0398355
Source: RNAcentral